AGAGUGAAAACUCGUGGCGUGUGUGUGUGUCUGUGUGUAGUCGAGGUUGGCUUUUUUCUUUUGGCCAACCACCAGCGUUUCUUCCUCGGGUUGUAUGAGACCAACGUCUUCACAGAAUCUCCAAACUUUCGAUUAGGAGAGGCGAGGACCCUAAAACUAAUCAAAGACCUGACUGGACCAACUGGAAUCCGGAUUAUCUUUUCAUUACCCGUUAAUGUAGUAUUUGCCUGCAGGCUGUUUUGAAGACCUCCAGAUCUCCCCCCCCCCCCCUGCUGAGUCUCCACCCUCCUCCGCUGCCUCCCGUCCACCACAGACAUGAUCAUCCGGCUGGGAAGACUGACGCCCGGCUACUUCAGACUGCUCCAGAGGCAAGUGGCCGGAGAGGUUCAGACCAAGCCUCACGACCGGGCCGUGAACCAGAUUGCCAUGAUGCUGGCCAUCAUGGGCCUGGGCCUGUCCUACUACAGUGCCAAGCAGAUGACCGAGACGGCCCCGGACCAGCCGCCGCCCUGAUCAGAGCCCCGACACCAGCCUGAAAUACUCUGAAGCCACCCGCACGACUACAAGAUGAUGACGAUUUGACCGGGUGGGCUGGGACAGAGAAAGUGGUUGAGAACGUAGGCCUGGGGCCCGCCAGCACCCUUUUCCCACAUCCAUCACCCUCUCCUGCUCUCACCAACGAUAGUGUUGAGAGGGCUCUAGUCCUGCUGUAAGGACCUGUUGUGUUUUAGUUAGUCCUGCUGGAUGUUGUUCAUCAUGGCCUGGGGGGGGGGGGGGGUGGGUGUUCAGCUAUAGUUGUUGCUGAGGUUCUGAUAAUGCUGUUCUAAACUGUGAACCUUUCUGGUGGUAUAGCGAGGAGGAAGGCGGGUGAAAUGAUGUGAGGGGGUGAGGUCUGCUGAAGGGAUGCGUGCCGCCUGUAAUCAUUUCCUCAAAAGUGGAGCUCUGGGCAGACCGAUUGCUCUCUUCAGUGUUUUCUAUAUAUUCUUCUUUUUUUUUUUCAAUCACUCUCCACUUUAGGAAAUCCCUGUUGCGUGUCCAGAAUCUAAGCGGGACCUUCUCUCUCGGUCCAUAUUCAUGCUUGUUUUGGUAUCUGUAACAGUAUUUGCACAGUAUACGAGUGAAACGUUUUUAGGAAGGACUUUGACGUUGUAUUCAUCACUACUUGUAUAUUUCCCCCUGUUCUGUUUCUGAGCCCUGGGCUGCACACCAGGACUGUCAUUGAAACGUCUUUCUUCAUUGAACUGUGCAUGUGUGUGCGUGCCCUAAUUUUAACCUAGAAUCUUCGAAUAUUGUGUUUAUUGAUGAAUGUAUAUGACUUUGUUUAUGAACUGAUUUAAUAAAGCUGUGACACUUUAA
Long non-coding RNA from Gadus macrocephalus (Pacific cod), 1356 nucleotides. RefSeq lists it as uncharacterized. The record is from RefSeq and is a predicted model, not a curated record. The transcript is spliced from 3 exons. NCBI's taxonomy places the organism in Eukaryota, Metazoa, Chordata, Actinopteri, Gadiformes, Gadidae.